This 253-nucleotide ribosomal RNA is filed under the name uncultured bacterium. RNAcentral describes it as "partial 16S ribosomal RNA". It matches the Rfam family "Bacterial small subunit ribosomal RNA", at positions 524 to 776 of the family's 1533-position model. The record is from RNAcentral.
UACGAAGGGGGCUAGCGUUGUUCGGAAUUACUGGGCGUAAAGCGCACGUAGGCGGCUUUUUAAGUCAGGGGUGAAAUCCCGGAGCUCAACUCCGGAACUGCCCUUGAAACUGGGAAGCUAGAAUCUUGGAGAGGCGAGUGGAAUUCCGAGUGUAGAGGUGAAAUUCGUAGAUAUUCGGAAGAACACCAGUGGCGAAGGCGACUCGCUGGACAAGUAUUGACGCUGAGGUGCGAAAGCGUGGGGAGCAAACAGG